UUAGAAUUUUUUGUGCGAAACGGGACUGAUAUUUUAGCAGAAAAUGCACAGUGUCAGAAAAUUAUGAAAACUGGAGAAUAUGUCGAAAUUAUUUUUAUGAUGUUAGAUUUAAAGUUUUAUGUCAAUCCGACACCCGGAAGGUGGAAAAUAAAAUCCGACUGCUGUCUGCUAGAGAUUGCAGUUCGAUAGAGAUUUCGGUGACCAAUGAUGGUCGAAACUGAAAGAUUAAAUUUUUUUUGUACUUAUUAAGUAAAACCGAGCAUGACUGUCAAAUUUGAGCACAAACGGACAUUCAGAAGGGCUCCGGCGAAAAACGUCAGUUGUAAACUGCUGAAGUGAAUAGUGUUUUGAAGGUGUUAAUUAUAAAGGAGUAAUUGUCUUCUUCUUCUCCUUCACCCG
Molecule: long non-coding RNA, 399 nt
Filed under: Ananas comosus (pineapple)
Lineage: Eukaryota; Viridiplantae; Streptophyta; Magnoliopsida; Poales; Bromeliaceae
Description: long non-coding RNA (ACOM_LNC041330)
Source: RNAcentral